This is a long non-coding RNA of Danio aesculapii, 429 nucleotides long. RefSeq lists it as uncharacterized. NCBI's taxonomy places the organism in Eukaryota, Metazoa, Chordata, Actinopteri, Cypriniformes, Danionidae. The transcript has 2 exons. The record is from RefSeq and is a predicted model, not a curated record.
AGACUCAAGAGCCUACAGAUUUUGAUUCUCCUGGAGGACAAGCCUGCAGACUUCUUUAAACCAUGCUUUGACUCUGAUGAUCCAGUCAUUCCACCACCUUGAAAUCCUAUUCUUAUUGCAGACAAAGCCUCAGUUAAGAUGAUCAUUGAGGGACAACUUGUGAUGGACUGCAUCAAAGACUUGUCAAAAGCUGUGCAUUCUCUUUGGACUACUAUACCCCAAGUCGACGAAGAACACUUUUCUCUUCAUCCAACAAAUUUCUCCUCAUGUUGGGCUACAGUGACUUAAAGCCCAAGCUACAGACAUUAAAUAAUUAAAUUGCUUUUCGAUUCACUGCAAAAUUUGCACAAUUGUUCUAUUAGCAAUGAUUGCUAAUGCCAGAAAGAAAUGUGAAUGAAACUUUAACAAAAAUAAAAAAAUUGAAAGGUU